This 468-nucleotide ribosomal RNA is filed under the name uncultured bacterium. Its description in RNAcentral is "partial 16S ribosomal RNA". It matches the Rfam family "Bacterial small subunit ribosomal RNA", at positions 28 to 507 of the family's 1533-position model. The record is from RNAcentral.
GACGAGCGCUGGCGGCGUGCUUAACACAUGCAAGUCGAACGGAAAGGCCCUGCUUUUGUGGGGUGCUCGAGUGGCGAACGGGUGAGUAACACGUGAGUAACCUGCCCUUGACUUUGGGAUAACUUCAGGAAACUGGGGCUAAUACCGGAUAGGAGCUCCUGCUGCAUGGUGGGGGUUGGAAAGUUUCGGCGGUUGGGGAUGGACUCGCGACUUAUCAGCUUGUUGGUGGGGUAGUGGCUUACCAAGGCUUUGACGGGUAGCCGGCCUGAGAGGGUGACCGGCCACAUUGGGACUGAGAUACGGCCCAGACUCCUACGGGAGGCAGCAGUGGGGAAUAUUGCACAAUGGGCGGAAGCCUGAUGCAGCAACGCCGCGUGCGGGAUGACGGCCUUCGGGUUGUAAACCGCUUUCGCCUGUGACGAAGCGUGGGUGACGGUAAUGGGUAAAGAAGCACCGGCUAACUACGUG